RNAcentral lists this ribosomal RNA (253 nucleotides) under uncultured bacterium. RNAcentral's name for it is "partial 16S ribosomal RNA". It matches the Rfam family "Bacterial small subunit ribosomal RNA", at positions 524 to 776 of the family's 1533-position model. The record is from RNAcentral.
UACGUAUGGUGCAAGCGUUAUCCGGAUUUACUGGGUGUAAAGGGAGCGUAGGCGGCGCGUUAAGUCUGAUGUGAAAACCCGAGGCUCAACCACGGGAGUGCAUUGGAAACUGGCGUGCUGGAGUGCCGGAGAGGUAAGCGGAAUUCCUAGUGUAGCGGUGAAAUGCGUAGAUAUUAGGAGGAACACCAGUGGCGAAGGCGGCCUGCUGGACUGCAACUGACGUUGAGGCCCGAAAGCGUGGGGAGCAAACAGG